RNAcentral lists this ribosomal RNA (468 nucleotides) under uncultured bacterium. RNAcentral describes it as "partial 16S ribosomal RNA". It matches the Rfam family "Bacterial small subunit ribosomal RNA", at positions 28 to 507 of the family's 1533-position model. The record is from RNAcentral.
GACGAACGCUGGCGGCGUGCUUAACACAUGCAAGUCGAACGGAAAGGCCCUGCUUUUGUGGGGUGCUCGAGUGGCGAACGGGUGAGUAACACGUGAGUAACCUGCCCUUGACUUUGGGAUAACUUCAGGAAACUGGGGCUAAUACCGGAUAGGAGCUCCUGCUGCAUGGUGGGGGUUGGAAAGUUUCGGCGGUUGGGGAGGGACUCGCGGCUUAUCAGCUUGUUGGUGGGGUAGUGGCUUACCAAGGCUUUGACGGGUAGCCGGCCUGAGGGGGUGACCGGCCACAUGGGGACUGGGAUACGGCCAGGACUCCUACGGGAGGCAGCAGUGGGGAAUAUUGCACAAUGGGCGGAAGCCUGAUGCAGCAACGCCGCGUGCGGGAUGACGGCCUUCGGGUUGUAAACCGCUUUCGCCUGUGACGAAGCGUGAGUGACGGUAAUGGGUAAAGAAGCACCGGCUAACUACGUG